CACGUAGGGUGCGAGCGUUGUCCGGAAUUAUUGGGCGUAAAGAGCUCGUAGGCGGUGUGUCGCGUCGGCCGUGAAAACCUGCAGCUUAACUGUGGGCUUGCGGUCGAUACGGGCAUCACUGGAGUUCGGCAGGGGAGACUGGAAUUCCUGGUGUAGCGGUGAAAUGCGUAGAGAUGCGGAGGAACACCGAUGGCGAAGGCAGCCCCCUGGGCUAAGACUGACGCUGAGGCACGAAAGCGUGGGGAGCAAACAGG
This 254-nucleotide ribosomal RNA is filed under the name uncultured bacterium. RNAcentral's name for it is "partial 16S ribosomal RNA". It matches the Rfam family "Bacterial small subunit ribosomal RNA", at positions 524 to 776 of the family's 1533-position model. The record is from RNAcentral.